This is a non-coding RNA of Tephrocybe sp. NHM501043, 94 nucleotides long. The record is from the annotation of a GenBank genome assembly. Lineage: Eukaryota; Fungi; Basidiomycota; Agaricomycetes; Agaricales; Lyophyllaceae.
UCUUUGCUAGUGUAUCGGUUAGUACACGCGCCUGUCAUAUCUUUGAUGCAACUUGUGUACGCGCGAAAGCUGGGUUCGACUCCCAGGCAGAGAG